RNAcentral lists this unclassified non-coding RNA (853 nucleotides) under Hevea brasiliensis (rubber tree). The record is from RNAcentral. Lineage: Eukaryota; Viridiplantae; Streptophyta; Magnoliopsida; Malpighiales; Euphorbiaceae.
GCUGCUUCUACUAUAAAAAAGCUGCAAUUUUUUUUCAAGAUUCUUGCCAAAUCUUCAAUCUCGAACACAAUUUUUCACUAAUCCAACACCCCCAUUUUCAAUUUUUCAAGAAAAUGAAGGUAAUUGAGAAGAUUCAAGAAGCAGCCAAGACUGACAAAGUGAUAUUUUCGUUCGAAUUUUUCCCACCAAAGACUGAUGAUGGGGUUGAAAAUCUGUUUGAAAGAAUGGAAAGAAUGGUUGCUCAUGGUCCAUCUUUUUGUGAUAUAACAUGGGGUGCUGGUGGUUCAACAGCAGAUCUGACACUUGAGAUUGUUAAUAGGAUGCAGAAUAUGGUGUGUGUUGAAUCUAUGAUGCAUUUGACAUGUACAAAUAUGCCUGUUGAAAAAAUUGAUCAUGCUCUUGAUACUAUCAAGGCUAAUGGUAUUCAAAAUGUUCUUGCUCUUCGUGGAGAUCCUCCUCAUGGUCAGGAUAAGUUUGUUCAGGUUGAAGGUGGAUUUGCUUGUGCUUUGGAUCUGGUGAAGCAUAUGCGUGCCAAGUAUGGGGAUUACUUUGGGAUAACUGUUGCAGGUUAUCCAGAGGCACAUCCUGAUGUUAUACCUGCUAAUGGAAUAGCUACCAAAGAGAUUUAUGAAAAUGACCUUGCUUACCUUAAAAAAAAGGUUGAUGCUGGAGCUGAUGUUAUUGUAACUCAACUCUUCUACGAUACUGAUAUUUUCCUAAAAUUUGUCAAUGAUUGCCGCCAAAUUGGAAUUAACUGCCCCAUCGUUCCGGGUAUCAUGCCCAUUAACAAUUACAAGGGCUUCUUGCGCAUGACUGGAUUUUGCAAGACUAAGAUUCCGGAUGAGAUAAUGGC